GUGUCCGUAGCUCAGUUGGUAGAGCACUGUGUUGAAGCCACGGGGGUCGUAGGUCCGAAUCCUAUCGGGCACA
RNAcentral lists this transfer RNA (73 nucleotides) under Lactobacillus phage LpeD. It matches the Rfam family "tRNA". From Rfam's summary of the family: Transfer RNA (tRNA) molecules are approximately 80 nucleotides in length. Their secondary structure includes four short double-helical elements and three loops (D, anti-codon, and T loops). Lineage: Duplodnaviria; Heunggongvirae; Uroviricota; Caudoviricetes; Herelleviridae. RNAcentral also lists the same sequence under 1 other name. The record is from Rfam by way of RNAcentral.